UACGUAGGGGGCAAGCGUUGUCCGGAUUUAUUGGGCGUAAAGAGCGUGUAGGCGGCUUUGCAAGUCCGUUGUGAAAACCCGAGGCUCAACCUCGAGACGCCGGUGGAAACUGCAAAGCUAGAGUCCGGAAGAGGAGAGUGGAAUUCCUGGUGUAGCGGUGAAAUGCGCAGAUAUCAGGAGGAACACCAAUAGCGAAGGCAGCUCGCUGGGACGUUACUGACACUGAGGCGCGAAAGCGUGGGGAGCGAACAGG
RNAcentral lists this ribosomal RNA (253 nucleotides) under uncultured bacterium. Its description in RNAcentral is "partial 16S ribosomal RNA". It matches the Rfam family "Bacterial small subunit ribosomal RNA", at positions 524 to 776 of the family's 1533-position model. The record is from RNAcentral.